UCUCUGAAUUUUCUCCUCUGUCUGAUUCCUUUUAUUAAUUGGAGUUUACUCGCUCCUUUUCCUUUCCCUGAAAACAUUUCCUCGUCGUAUUGAUGUCGAAAAGGGCCGACCACUUCCAAAAUUUGGUGAAUGGGAUGUCAAUGAUCCAACCUCAGCUGAGGGGUUCACAGUGAUUUUUAAUAAGGCCAGGGAUGAGAAAAAGA
Long non-coding RNA from Glycine soja, 203 nucleotides. RefSeq lists it as uncharacterized. NCBI's taxonomy places the organism in Eukaryota, Viridiplantae, Streptophyta, Magnoliopsida, Fabales, Fabaceae. The transcript has 2 exons. The record is from RefSeq and is a predicted model, not a curated record.